This 294-nucleotide signal recognition particle RNA is filed under the name Vombatus ursinus (common wombat). Its description in RNAcentral is "Metazoan signal recognition particle RNA (ENSVURG00010014814.1)". It matches the Rfam family "Metazoan signal recognition particle RNA". From Rfam's summary of the family: The signal recognition particle (SRP) is a universally conserved ribonucleoprotein. The record is from Rfam by way of RNAcentral. Lineage: Eukaryota; Metazoa; Chordata; Mammalia; Diprotodontia; Vombatidae.
GCUGAGCAUGGUGGAACACGCAUAAUCCUUGCUACUAGGGAGGCUGACACCGAUGGAUCACUUAAGCUCAAGAGUUCUGAGUUGCAGUAAGGCUUAAGCUGAUUGGGUGUCCCCACUAAGUCUGGCAUCAAUAUGGUAAGCCACAGAAGGCCUUCUGGCUGCCAAAGGAAGGGAACAUGGACCCAAGUUAGAAACAGAGUGGGUCAAAGCUUUCAUUUUGAUCAUCAGUGGGAUGACGUCCAUGAGUGAUCACUGCACUUCUAGCCUGGGUAAGUUAUGAAGACCCAGUGUCAA